RNAcentral lists this ribosomal RNA (253 nucleotides) under uncultured bacterium. RNAcentral describes it as "partial 16S ribosomal RNA". It matches the Rfam family "Bacterial small subunit ribosomal RNA", at positions 524 to 776 of the family's 1533-position model. The record is from RNAcentral.
AACGUAGGAGACAAACGUUAUCCGGAGUUACUGGGCGUAAAGGGCGUGUAGGUGGUUUCGUAAGUCUGGCGUGAAAUUUUUCGGCUUAACCGGGGAACUGCGUCUGAUACUGGAUGGCUUGAGUUUGGGAGAGGGAUGCGGAAUUCCAGGUGUAGCGGUGAAAUGCGUAGAUAUCUGGAGGAACACCGGUGGCGAAGGCGGGUCUCUGGGCCGUAACUGACGCUGAGGAGCGAAAGCGUGGGGAGCGAACAGG